ACCGUCUUGCGAUUUGAAAAUCCAAGUUUUCGUUAAAGCUUCUUCCUCGUAUUCGUUCCAUGCAGUAGUUCUUUUUUUUCUUGGAUCUUUUGUUUUUUUUUUUGCCUUCGACGAGUUGGUUGUUGUGUUUAUUGGACCCGUUCGUCGUCGUCGUCAUUGUCAAGAUUUAUAGGUUGAGAUUGAGAUAAUGAGACUUGAGAUGGUUGAAAUUGUUGAGGUAUAAAAGAAGGUUGUUGAAAUUGUUGAGAAAAUUGUUGAAAUUGUUGAGAAGGUUGUUGUUGAAAUGCUUGGAAUUGGGGUUGAUUGAAUUGUUGUGGUUGUUGUUGGUAGAAGUUUGAGGGGUAUGAAGUGGUGAAUAAAGGUUGUUGGAUUGGAGAGGUUAACAAUUUCAUGUAGGUUGUAGCUAACAUUUGCAUUUGGAUUGUUUGAGGUAUUUUGAUUUGAAUCCAUGUAGAGAGAAAAAUAUAUAUAUAUAUGAGAGAGAUGAGUGUUUUUUUUAGAUCGUAAUAAAAUGUAGAGAGUGUUUUUUGAAGUGUAAAUUGUAAAUAAAAUAGUAGGUAAUUUAUAGAUGAAGUUGAGUUUGUUUAAAUUUUAAAAAAUAAUUUUUUUUAAUUGUUUAAUCGGUCAAAAGACCGUUCCCCACCAAAAUUCAGUUGUUGCAAAAAGGAGGUUUCCUAUUCGUCGUCUCAUCCCGUCUCCGGAGCCACGUCACGCGCACCCCACCGAACCUGGGGGCGGUGUUCACCCAUGUGAAGGCGCACCACAUAAGCCCAAGACACGUGAAAAUCGCUCCUUACCGGUUAGCCUUACGGAGAAAAGUUUGCACCUUUAAGACAGCUACACACAUAAAUGAAUGUUAGGUAAAACCGUCAAAUGUUUACAAAUUUAAGGACCUUUCCUAUCAUUUUUUCAUAAAAUAGUCACAUAUGUCGUCGCUUGUUUUUUAAUCGGAGAAAGGGGCUGGAAAUCACAUCAGAUUUGUCUCAGCACGGAUCAAAAUCGAUCGAUCGAUCCCUUUGAAUCUUUUUGCGGGAAAGAAAAAGGCGAAAAUGGGUUAUACAAAGGGUCUAUUGUCGGUGAUAACAAGAGACGGGGAGCCUUUGGUGAAGAAAUUGGCUGCGGUUUCUGUCUUCGGGGUGCUCCCUGGAGCCAUGAUCGCUUCUCUUAUCUAUUCUCCUCCCGAUUUCAUCUACAACGAGAAGAACUCUUCUUCUAAAGUUCUCAAAUAGAGAUCUUUCUAGAGAUUACUUUUGUAGAAAUUUGCAUGGCGGAAGUUUGAACCACAAUAACCCUAAUGAUCUAUUAUGUGUUAGCCGUAUUCCGGUUAAAGCCAUUGGGAAAUUUAGUUUUGAUGUUUUAAGCUCAUUUGUUUAUGUUUUAGCAUACUCUUUUCUUUAUUCACUCUCUUUUAAUUAUUAAUUAGUGCAACAAAGUGUUAAAGCUUUUACCUUCA
This is a long non-coding RNA of Lactuca sativa (garden lettuce), 1453 nucleotides long. RefSeq lists it as uncharacterized. NCBI's taxonomy places the organism in Eukaryota, Viridiplantae, Streptophyta, Magnoliopsida, Asterales, Asteraceae. The record is from RefSeq and is a predicted model, not a curated record.